This is a long non-coding RNA of Pan troglodytes (chimpanzee), 903 nucleotides long. RefSeq lists it as uncharacterized. The transcript is spliced from 6 exons. The record is from RefSeq and is a predicted model, not a curated record. Lineage: Eukaryota; Metazoa; Chordata; Mammalia; Primates; Hominidae.
UUCCCAGAGCCCAUGGACAGGAAAUCUGAUCACAGGCCACUCGGUCACUCUAAUCACUCUUUCUGUGGUCUGAGAGAGAGGCAGCUAGCAGAAGACGGCUUGGGAGAAGAGGACAGGAGGAGAGGAGAGCCUGCAACAAAGCAUGGAUCUCUCCUCAUGGCAGCUGUAGGAAACACAGGAACUCCGUGACCUGGAAAAUGUGGGACAACUGCCACAAGGUGACCCUGGAAGGCUGGGGUUGAAUACCAGUAGAAACCUCAUAUUUACCUGGAAGAUUACUUUUAGGAAGCUUGAAGAAUUCUCUCUUCCAACUUGGUUGGAUUUCCUGUAAGAUUUUAAAUGAAGAAAGUCUUCUACUGCUGUAUAAAGAAAAAAAAAAAGAAGAAGAAAGGGAUGGAUCUCACUAUGUUGCCAAGGCUGGCUCGAGAACUCCUGGGCUCAACCAAUCCUCCUGCCUCAGCCUCCCAAAUAGCUGGGACUACAGAAUGGACUUUUCAUCCAUGUGGCUGUGAUCAGUUCCUAAAGCAGAGGAAUCUGCAGCCUAAUGACACAUCAGGAAUUGAUGGAGCCCCAGUGGACAGCUUCUAUGAGGUGUGUGGGUGGCGGAUGUGAAAUCAAUAAAAAAAAAAAGAAUAAUUUUUUUGUUGUUUUUGUUCACUGUCAUGUACAUUAAAGCAUGUAGGCCUCUUCCAGUGUAUAUGUGUAACUUUCGCAGUAAAAUCUGGAUGAAAAAUCAAUAGAAAUUUAGAAUCUUUCUUCAUAGGAACUGUAUGAUCACUUUGGCAGGAGGAAAAAUAAACAUGUGAAAACAACCUCAAGUCAAUAAAAUGUAUGAUCAGUAACAUAUGAUGAGUAUAUAAGUUAUAGCAUGGAUAAUGUUGAUUCUAGCUAAUUACCUUUGAA